RNAcentral lists this long non-coding RNA (1372 nucleotides) under Sus scrofa (pig). RNAcentral's name for it is "lncRNA (ENSSSCG00015071423.1)". The record is from RNAcentral. Lineage: Eukaryota; Metazoa; Chordata; Mammalia; Artiodactyla; Suidae.
AGAAAAGGCGCAAUUUAAGUGCUGGGUGGGGCGCAGUGGGGCGGGACAGGGGUUGCGGAGAGGAUUGAAUUUCUCUUCGCUCGCAACCUUCCGUCGGCGGAUAAAGCGCAAGUUUGUGGAUUUCGCCCCCAGAGAGAUUGCAAAACCGAUGAAACAGAAAGUGUCCAGUGAGAUGCAGAGUUUGCCCAGAUUUCCCUGCAGAGAAAUCUGGGCAAACUCCGUUUGCGGAAACCCCUGUGAUGGGAACUUUCUGCAUUUCGUGUACGGAGGGAGCUAAAGGAAAGGAGGGAAGGGAGCGGGGCGGGGAGGGGGGCAUUGGGAGCGUGAAGCGUGAAGCGUGUGUGUGUGUGUGUGUGUGUGUGUGUGUGUGUACGCGCGCGCGCGCGCGCGCAGGGGGAGAGGUUGUGCCCGGGAGCGGGGGCGUCACAGCGGGGGCAGAGGAAGGAGUGCAGAACGUCCUGCAGGCUAAUUGGCUUAAGACGUUCUGCAAGCGCUUGGAAAAGGUCGUUGAAGGAGUUCGCUGCACACACACCAAAUAAUAAUCUUAAAAAAGAGUGCCGGGCAUGCGCACACGGAGGAUGCCAUAUUGGAAGGAGGCUGUAGUGGGAGUCGGAGGACCAGAGCGGGCGCGCGAGGGAGGCGGCGGGCGGGGAGUGAGCGAGGCAGAGCGAGCGAGCGGGCGGGCGAGGCCGGCGUCCCCACCCCCCCCUAACCCCCGGCGGCGCCCGGGGCCUCGGUCCACCCACGGGGAGGACGAACUUCACCAGCCAUUGGCAGAUACGGUUCUUGAAGAUGCUCCUGUGAUCGCCCAGGCUGUGAGCUGCUUCUCAGGGAACCGGAACCUGGGAUGUUUCAGAGAUCAGGUUUGGGCGAACAGUUUGGUGGUGCGCCCCCCUUCAGAAUCCUUGGGGGUUUUCCAUUUUGAUGGACAUGGUUGGAAAGGUCUCAGCGGGGAUGAGGUGUCCUAGUGCUCCUUUUGACAUUCCUGCGGUGCGACAGGAGGCAUCUGCUCUGUGAUCCAGACGUGCUGGAGUUCCAGGGGCUGCCACGGCAGGCCUGGAAUUUCCUAAGCUUUUAGUGUAGGCCUUGGCUUUUCAUGUUCCAUCUGGAGAGUAGUCUGUCUUCCGAGCCACAUAAAAAACAAAUAACUGCAAACCUUCCCCCUCUCAGAGUAGCAAGCCUGAGAUUGCAAGUAUGGUCAUUGGUAGUAAAUGGCCCGUUUGUUGCAGCUUUAAGGCAGAUCCCUUUGAAAGUACUGGAUAAUUGGGUAACUUGAAAAGAGAUGCGGAGUUCCCUAGCGGUGCAGCCGGUGAAGGAUCUGGCGUUGUUGCUGCUAUGGUUUGGGUCUGAUCCCUGGCCUGGGAGUUUCUGC